UAUCAUCAACUUUGCUCUCGA
Molecule: non-coding RNA, 21 nt
Organism: Caenorhabditis elegans
Lineage: Eukaryota; Metazoa; Nematoda; Chromadorea; Rhabditida; Rhabditidae
Source: Ensembl